UUUCCCUAGGUGAACCUGCGGAAGGAUCAUUAUUGUAUAACCGAGGUGCGAGGGCUGUCGCUGACCCGAAAGGUCGUGCACGCCCGAGUGCCCUCACACACAUCCAUCUCACCCCUAUUUGCACCACCGCGUGGGUCCCCCUUUGGCUUGUUCGGAGGGGGGCUUACGUUUUCACACAAACUUUGUAUGCAGUGUAGAAUGUAUUUUUUGUUUUUGCGAUCACGCAAUCAAUACAACUUUCAACAACGGAUCUCUUGGCUCUC
Molecule: unclassified non-coding RNA, 263 nt
Filed under: plant metagenome
Description: partial contains small subunit ribosomal RNA, internal transcribed spacer 1, and 5.8S ribosomal RNA
Source: RNAcentral